GGAAGAGGACUCAGAAAGGGUGGUGUCCACAGAGCCACACACAAGGAGGCUGGACUGGCCUUUAGUUCACUAAUGCCAAUACAAGACCCUCCAAAACACCUCUAGGUGCUUUAAAUAGGCACAUUAUUUUAUUCUCAAUCAGCAUAGCUAGAUACUGUGCUAGCACAGGGAUUACAUUAGAGAAUAAGAGACAUGCUCCCUACUCUUAUACAACUUACGUGCUGUUUGGGGAAACAUACACGUAAGCAGGCAAUUUGGAGCACUCUGUGUGCAGGACAAAGACAGGCACCAAGGAUAGACUAAGGGUUGGAGCAGGCUUCUCUAAGAUGUACCUUGCCACAGCUUAGAUGUCACAUGUAAGGAUUAGCCAGGUGAGGAAGAUGCGAGUAUGUCAUUCCAACAUCAGAAAAGAACAUGGGUAACUCUGAGGAAAAUAACAUAAUAUAUUUUGGAAGGGGAAAAAUUCAACCUUGUUGGAAGGUAGUGGGCUAGGUGAGGAGUAAUAAGAGCUGUGACUGGUGUUGGCAAAUGUAUUUGGAUAAAGCUCAGGUGGGAGGCCGGCCUACUGUGAUUCCUUAUACCCUCACAGCAUCCUUGGAUAGGAGCUGCAGUGGCCUCUUUCUGUUGUGUUUCAGGUGUAAAGGUUGCUUCUGACCAGGAAGACAAAAGUUAAGGAGCGUUAGGGUUUCAGGGAAAGGAUGGGGGUGAGACAUCCCUCAGGAAAACAGCUGUGUUGUCAGGUAUGGGGAAGGAAAGAGAGGAGGAUGAAAAUCAAACCCACCUACUCCAGGGCUCAAGGCCAGUCUGGAGGACUGAGGACACUUGGCUUGGAUCUGACAAGGUCUGUGACGUAGCCAAGUCCUGCUUGCUUUACAAGAGAAAUCCCUUUCUCAUGCCCGUAAUUCACUAGGUAAGCAGUUAGUCUCAUUUAAUUUGGGCUGUGAUAUCCUCCUACGACGACCUCUCUGCCCAAACCUGAGUGGGAACCACGGUCCCAUGCUGUGACUCAGUAGUGAUGGAACUCAAAUGGCAUGGGAAGGGAAGGGAAGGGAAGGGAAGGGAAGUAGACUGCUGAGACAGCUUCCUCACUAACACCGGGGAGGGGAACUGCUGUAAGAGAGAAUCAUGGAAACAGGAGACACAUUCACUUGGAAAGUUCUGAUUUUUCCAUUCAAGGAU
This 1179-nucleotide long non-coding RNA is filed under the name Equus caballus (horse). Its description in RNAcentral is "lncRNA (ENSECAG00000056586.1)". Lineage: Eukaryota; Metazoa; Chordata; Mammalia; Perissodactyla; Equidae. The record is from RNAcentral.